This 517-nucleotide ribosomal RNA is filed under the name Panstrongylus rufotuberculatus. Its description in RNAcentral is "partial 16S ribosomal RNA". It matches the Rfam family "Bacterial large subunit ribosomal RNA", at positions 1833 to 2609 of the family's 2925-position model. Lineage: Eukaryota; Metazoa; Arthropoda; Insecta; Hemiptera; Reduviidae. The record is from RNAcentral.
UUUUGUUUAUUUAUUUAAGGUCUGACCUGCCCAAUGAGGAAUUCAAUGGCCGCAGUAUUCUAACUGUGCUAAGGUAGCAUAAUCAUUUGUCUUUUAAUUGAGGGCUGGAAUGAAAGGUUGGACGAGAUAUCAGCUUUCUUUAUUUUAAUUUCUGGAAUUUAAUUUUUAAGUUAAAAAGCUUAAAUAUAUUUGUUGGACGAGAAGACCCUAUAGAUCUUUAUAAUUUUAUAUUUUGGCAAUUUAGAGAUUUUUUUGCUUGGAGUAAAUUAAUUAUUUUGUUGGGGUAACUAUAGAAUUUUAAUAACUUCUGUUUGUUUGUAUCGUUUAUUGAUGUUUUUUUGAUCCGUGUAUGUUACGAUUAGAAGAUUAAGUUACCUUAGGGAUAACAGCGUAAUUUUUUCGGAGAGUUCAUAUUGAUGAAGGAGUUUCGGACCUCGAUGUUGGAUUAAAAUAAGUUAUGGACGCAGAAGUCUAUAUACUAGGACUGUUCGACCUUUAAAUUUUUACAUGAUCUGAG